GUAGAGAAUAAAUUCUUACCCGAUUCUUGUAAGCCCACAUGUUACUGCCUAAGGGAGUUGUGUAAUAACUGCUCAUUACCCAGUUGAGGAAGAUUAAAGGCAGCCCCCAAACUGGUCCUCAGUGGAUUAAAGAAUUGAAUGGGGGUACAAGAGUUGUAUGGCGCAUCUGAACUCGUGCGUGAAAAAAUUGAUGCAUGGAACGUAAAAAGUUGGCCACCCCUGAUCUAACGGAUGAAGAGUGGUUAGAAUCUGGAAUGCACUGACCGAACAGAUUUCCACAACCCAUAAUACUUUGUUUUCCUGUGGAAGUUUAUUGGAUAGCAGAUUCCGCCUGAUUUUUCCAUAUUGCAAAAUUAAGAAGCUCAAUCGCAAACUGCAGUGCCCUCUAGUGGCAAAUGUGAGAGCUGCUAACUUGAAAUGCCAGCAGUCUAUAACAUCUGAACAUAGUUGCCGAAAGUGCACUGAGAGCUUGCAUCAUCAUUCUGAUCAGCGGGAAAGCUCUGUUGCAAGGAUUAGGCAUCCUUUAAGAUUACUUGAAACUUUGAAAUUGAUAAAUAAACAAAUUGAAGUGGACUUUCACAAUGAAUUCAACUGAAAUGCCAUUUCUUAGUCAUUGAAGGGAAGAUGUAGGCAUUGAAGAUUCAGAGCAAAGUCUAAGAUUAAAAAAAUCCAAGUGCUUGAAAGACCAUCUUGGUUUGUACAUUGCAGAAGAUGCAGUAAGAAUUUUAUUAAAAAUGAAUUGAAUUAAUAGACAUUGGAUUGCCUCCAGCAGAUUUUGCAAGAACAAGAGCAAAACCGGUACCAUAGGUAAGUGCAUCAGCAAGUACUGAAGGACCCCCAAAAGACUAAACGAACAUAACAUAAACGUUCAUGACAAGAAAUGGCAAAAUCAGCAGCUGAAAUGCCUCAGGCUGCAGGGAAAAGCAAGUCAGCUGCAAACAUAAUGUUCCACAUGAAAGGACAGUGUUAAUCUUCAUCCGAGUUACGGAAGGAAAACUCCUGGUGGAAAAAUCUGAAUUCAGACACAAGGCAAUACCUUUGGUAUCACAGCUUUGUAAUUUGGUUUCAAUACCAAUUGUAGCUCAAAUUGGAAACACAGGAUUGUAUGUAAUGAAUGAAUAUCAUUCAAGAUCCGAGCUCUAAGAUUCAUUAAUUUUGCAUAAUAAUUUAAUUCAAAUUAAUUACAAUAACGUUUUGUCAAGGCUUAUCAUUUAAAAAAAAUUCA
Mobula hypostoma (lesser devil ray) is the source of this 1225-nucleotide long non-coding RNA. RefSeq lists it as uncharacterized. The transcript is spliced from 3 exons. NCBI's taxonomy places the organism in Eukaryota, Metazoa, Chordata, Chondrichthyes, Myliobatiformes, Myliobatidae. The record is from RefSeq and is a predicted model, not a curated record.